CAGCAGCCGCGGUAAGACGAACCGUGCGAACGUUAUUCGGAAUUACUGGGCUUAAAGCGCGUGUAGGCGGGCCGCCACGUCGGUCGCUGAAAUCCCCCGGCUCAACCGGGGAAGUGGCAUCGAUACGAGCGGCCUUGAGGGGGGUAGGGGGAUCUGGAACUUCCGGUGGAGCGGUGGAAUGCGUUGAGAUCGGAAGGAACGCCCGUGGCGAAAGCGAGGUCCUGGACCCUUUCUGACGCUGAGACGCGAAAGCCAGGGGAGCGAACGGGAUUAGAUACCCCCGUAGUCCCUGUCUCUUAUA
RNAcentral lists this ribosomal RNA (301 nucleotides) under uncultured bacterium. RNAcentral's name for it is "partial 16S ribosomal RNA". It matches the Rfam family "Bacterial small subunit ribosomal RNA", at positions 509 to 807 of the family's 1533-position model. The record is from RNAcentral.